CACUGAGGCUCGUGAUUGACGCAAGCUUUGUUGCUAAAUUUAGCAUCUGUGCGACCGGAUAGCACAGAGCCCAUUCAUUGUGAUCCAGCCGAGCCAAAUAUAGUCGUAGACAGGUAUUUUUAGCUGGAAAGCGUGUCCCCGUUUUCAUCCGCCGAGGCAACCUGAGCGAUGUGGAGCCGAGUCAGAGACGAGCUCCACGAUCGAAUCCUCCAUUGUUCAUUUGUCGUGGAGUGGAGGGCAACUUUUACAAUCAGCUGAUCGGGGGCAGGGAGACACGCUCUCACCGCCUCUCUGCGUCCAGCUCUCCCCGGGAAAAAAGGUUUGAGAGGGAAUCACGUGAAACACACAGAGCAACGACAGGGUAUCAGCUGCCUCCACUGUGACCUCACCAUGGUGACGUGUAAAUCCAGAUUAACCAGCUCUCUUAUUCCGCCAGACAUGGACGUGAUUAGAGAUUAUGACUGCGUCCUUUUAAUAGAAUUGGACAUGUGGGUAAUCAAGUGCGUCCACCAAAGUUGUGUCAGGGUGAGGCUCCUCACAAGCUGAAUGUGGUAGCCAGUUUGUGCCAGACAGGAACAAAACAGAAACAUCUCAGCUAAACAUGCA
This is a long non-coding RNA of Paralichthys olivaceus (Japanese flounder), 606 nucleotides long. RefSeq lists it as uncharacterized. The record is from RefSeq and is a predicted model, not a curated record. Lineage: Eukaryota; Metazoa; Chordata; Actinopteri; Pleuronectiformes; Paralichthyidae.